UGUAUAAGAAUUUGCACAUCCCAGAGUUGCUAUGUGAAUAGGAAUGCGUUUCCAGGGAAAGGAGAAACAGACAUUACAGAGCAGACAGCUCUAUGAUGUUUACUAUACUUGCUAAAAUACGAAAUUCAGCCAAGUUGGAAUACAAAGUAGUGCCAAAACAGCAUUAGGUUUGUGGAGUUAUUUUAAACAUAAUUGAAAAAUCAAGGUUUUUUAAUACUUUAAAUAAAACAUCUAUUUUUCAAUGUGGUAAUUUAAGUCCUACAAUGAGUUUAUUAAAAUGUGCUUUUUAUUUAGGGUAUGAACUACAGUUCCGAUUAGGCCCAACUUUACAGGGAAAAGCAGUUACCGUGUAUACAAAUUACCCAUUUCCUGGAGAAACAUUUAAUAGAGAAAAAUUCCGUUCUCUGGAUUGGGAAAAUCCAACAGAAAGAGAAGAUGAUUCUGAUAAAUACUGCAAACUUAAUCUGCAACAAUCUGGUUCAUUUCAGUAUUAUUUCCUUCAAGGAAAUGAGAAAAGUGGUGGAGGUUACAUAGUUGUGGACCCCAUUUUACGUGUUGGUGCCGAUAAUCAUGUGCUACCCUUGGACUGUGUUACUCUUCAGACAUUUUUAGCUAAGUGUUUGGGACCUUUUGAUGAAUGGGAAAGCAGACUUAGGGUUGCAAAAGAAUCAGGCUACAACAUGAUUCAUUUUACCCCACUGCAGACUCUUGGACUAUCUAGGUCAUGCUACUCCCUUGCCAAUCAGUUAGAAUUAAAUCCUGACUUUUCAAGACCUAAUAGAAAGUAUACCUGGAAUGAUGUUGGACAGCUAGUGGAAAAAUUAAAAAAGGAAUGGAAUGUUAUUUGUAUUACUGAUGUUGUCUACAAUCAUACUGCUGCUAAUAGUAAAUGGAUCCAGGAACAUCCAGAAUGUGCCUAUAAUCUUGUGAAUUCUCCACACUUAAAACCUGCCUGGGUCUUAGACAGAGCACUUUGGCGUUUCUCCUGUGAUGUUGCAGAAGGGAAAUACAAAGAAAAGGGAAUACCUGCUUUGAUUGAAAAUGAUCACCAUAUGAAUUCCAUCCGAAAAAUAAUUUGGGAGGAUAUUUUUCCAAAGCUUAAACUCUGGGAAUUUUUCGAAGUAGAUGUCAACAAAGCGGUUGAGCAAUUUAGAAGACUUCUUACACAAGAAAAUAGGCGAGUAACCAAGUCUGAUCCAAACCAACAUCUUAGGAUUAUUCAGGAUCCUGAAUACAGACGGUUUGGCUGUACUGUAGAUAUGAACAUUGCACUAACGACUUUCAUACCACAUGACAAUGGGCCAGCAGCAAUUGAAGAAUGCUGUAACUGGUUUCGUAAGAGAAUUGAGGAAUUAAAUUCAGAGAAGCAUCAACUCAUUAACUAUCAUCAGGAACAGGCAGUGAAUUGCCUUUUGGGAAAUGUGUUUUAUGAACGACUGGCUGGCCAUGGUCCAAAACUAGGACCUGUCACUAGAAAGCAUCCUUUAGUUACCAGGUAUUUUACUUUCCCAUUUGAAGAGAUGGACUUCUCCAUGGAAGAAUCUAUGAUUCAUCUCCCAAAUAAAGCUUGUUUACUGAUGGCACACAAUGGAUGGGUAAUGGGAGAUGAUCCUCUUCGAAACUUUGCUGAACCGGGUUCAGAAGUUUACCUAAGGAGAGAACUUAUUUGCUGGGGAGACAGUGUUAAAUUACGCUAUGGGAAUAAACCAGAGGACUGUCCUUAUCUCUGGGCACACAUGAAAAAAUACACUGAAAUAACUGCAACUUAUUUCCAGGGAGUACGUCUUGAUAACUGCCACUCAACACCUCUUCACGUAGCUGAGUACAUGUUGGAUGCUGCUAGGAAUUUGCAACCCAAUUUAUAUGUAGUAGCUGAACUGUUCACAGGAAGUGAAGAUCUGGACAAUGUCUUUGUUACUAGACUGGGCAUUAGUUCCUUAAUAAGAGAGGCAAUGAGUGCAUAUGAUAGUCAUGAAGAGGGCAGAUUAGUUUACCGAUUUGGAGGAGAACCUGUUGGAUCCUUUGUUCAGCCCUGUUUGAGGCCUUUAAUGCCGGCUAUUGCACAUGCCCUGUUUAUGGAUAUUACACAUGAUAAUGAGUGUCCUAUUGUGCAUAGAUCAGCGUAUGAUGCUCUUCCAAGUACUACAAUUGUUUCUAUGGCGUGUUGUGCUAGUGGAAGUACAAGAGGCUAUGAUGAAUUAGUGCCUCAUCAGAUUUCAGUGGUUUCUGAAGAACGGUUUUACACUAAGUGGAAUCCUGAAGCAUUGCCUUCAAAUACAGGUGAAGUUAAUUUCCAAAGCGGCAUUAUUGCAGCCAGGUGUGCUAUCAAUAAACUUCAUCAGGAGCUUGGAGCCAAGGGUUUUAUUCAGGUGUAUGUGGAUCAAGUUGAUGAAGACAUAGUGGCAGUAACAAGACACUCACCUAGCAUCCAUCAGUCUGUUGUGGCUGUAUCUAGAACUGCUUUCAGGAAUCCCAAGACUUCAUUUUACAGCAAGGAAGUGCCUCAAAUGUGCAUCCCUGGCAAAAUUGAAGAAGUAGUUCUUGAAGCUAGAACUAUUGAGAGAAACACGAAACCUUAUAGGAAGGAUGAGAAUUCAAUCAAUGGAACGCCAGAUAUCACAGUAGAAAUUAGAGAACAUAUUCAGCUUAAUGAAAGUAAAAUUGUUAAACAAGCUGGAGUUGCCACAAAAGGGCCCAAUGAAUUUAUUCAAGAAAUAGAAUUUGAAAACUUGUCUCCAGGAAGUGUUAUUAUAUUCAGAGUUAGUCUUGAUCCACAUGCACAAGUCGCUGUUGGAAUUCUUCGAAAUCAUCUGACACAAUUCAGUCCUCACUUUAAAUCUGGCAGCCUAGCUGUUGACAAUGCAGAUCCUAUAUUAAAAAUUCCUUUUGCUUCUAUUGCCUCCAAAUUAACUUUGGCUGAGCUAAAUCAGAUCCUUUACCGAUGUGAAUCAGAAGAAAAGGAAGAUGGUGGAGGGUGCUAUGACAUACCAAACUGGUCAGCCCUUAAAUAUGCAGGUCUUCAAGGUUUAAUGUCUGUAUUGGCAGAAAUAAGACCAAAGAAUGACUUGGGGCAUCCUUUUUGUAAUAAUUUGAGAUCUGGAGAUUGGAUGAUUGACUAUGUCAGUAACCGGCUUAUUUCACGAUCAGGAACUAUUGCUGAAGUUGGUAAAUGGUUGCAGGCUAUGUUCUUCUACCUGAAGCAGAUCCCACGUUACCUUAUCCCAUGUUAUUUUGAUGCUAUAUUAAUUGGUGCAUAUACCACUCUUCUGGAUACAGCAUGGAAGCAGAUGUCAAGCUUUGUUCAGAAUGGUUCAACCUUUGUGAAACACCUUUCAUUGGGUUCAGUUCAACUGUGUGGAGUAGGAAAAUUCCCUUCCCUGCCAAUUCUUUCACCUGCCCUAAUGGAUGUACCUUAUAGGUUAAAUGAGAUCACAAAAGAAAAGGAGCAAUGUUGUGUUUCUCUAGCUGCAGGCUUACCUCAUUUUUCUUCUGGUAUUUUCCGCUGCUGGGGAAGGGAUACUUUUAUUGCACUUAGAGGUAUGCUGCUGAUUACUGGACGCUAUGUAGAAGCCAGGAAUAUUAUUUUAGCAUUUGCUGGUACGCUGAGGCAUGGUCUCAUUCCUAAUCUACUGGGUGAAGGAACUUAUGCCAGAUACAAUUGUCGGGACGCUGUGUGGUGGUGGCUGCAGUGUAUCCAGGAUUACUGUAAAAUGGUUCCAAAUGGUCUAGACAUUCUCAAGUGCCCAGUUUCCAGAAUGUAUCCUACAGAUGAUUCUGCUCCUUUGCCUGCUGGCGCACUGGAUCAGCCAUUGUUUGAAGUCAUACAGGAAGCAAUGCAAAAACACAUGCAGGGCAUACAGUUCCGAGAAAGGAAUGCUGGUCCCCAGAUAGAUCGAAACAUGAAGGACGAAGGUUUUAAUAUAACUGCAGGAGUUGAUGAAGAAACAGGAUUUGUUUAUGGAGGAAAUCGUUUCAAUUGUGGCACAUGGAUGGAUAAAAUGGGAGAAAGUGACAGAGCUAGAAACAGAGGAAUCCCAGCCACACCAAGAGAUGGGUCUGCUGUGGAAAUUGUGGGCCUGAGUAAAUCUGCUGUUCGCUGGUUGCUGGAAUUAUCCAAAAAAAAUAUUUUCCCUUAUCAUGAAGUCACAGUAAAAAGACAUGGAAAGGCUAUAAAGGUCUCAUAUGAUGAGUGGAACAGAAAAAUACAGGAUAACUUUGAAAAGCUGUUUCAUGUUUCAGAAGACCCUUCAGAUUUAAAUGAAAAGCAUCCAAAUUUGGUUCACAAACGUGGCAUAUACAAAGAUAGUUAUGGAGCUUCAAGUCCUUGGUGUGACUAUCAGCUCAGGCCUAAUUUUACCAUAGCAAUGGUUGUGGCCCCUGAGCUCUUUACUACAGAAAAAGCAUGGAAAGCUUUGGAGAUUGCAGAAAAAAAAUUGCUUGGUCCCCUUGGCAUGAAAACUUUAGAUCCAGAUGAUAUGGUUUACUGUGGAAUUUAUGACAAUGCAUUAGACAAUGACAACUACAAUCUUGCUAAAGGUUUCAAUUAUCACCAAGGACCUGAGUGGCUGUGGCCUAUUGGGUAUUUUCUUCGUGCAAAAUUAUAUUUUUCCAGAUUGAUGGGCCCGGAGACUACUGCAAAGACUAUAGUUUUGGUUAAAAAUGUUCUUUCCCGACAUUAUGUUCAUCUUGAGAGAUCCCCUUGGAAAGGACUUCCAGAACUGACCAAUGAGAAUGCCCAGUACUGUCCUUUCAGCUGUGAAACACAAGCCUGGUCAGUUGCUACUAUUCUUGAGACACUUUAUGAUUUAUAGUUGAUUACAGAUAUUAAGUAUGUAAUUACUUCUAUUAUAGGAUGCAAGGUCAUCAUAUGUAAAUGCCUUAUAUGCACAGGCUCAAGUUGUUUUAAAAAUCUCAUUUAUUAUAAUAUUGAUGCUCAAUUAGGUAUGAUUGUAAAAGCAUUGAUUUUUUCUUAAUGUACAGAGGUAGAUUUCAAUUUGAAUCAGAAAGAAAUAUCAUUACCAAUGAAAUGUGUUUGAGUUCAGUAAGAAUUAUUCAAAUGCCUAGAAAUCCAGAGUUUGGAAAAGAAAAAUCAUGUCAUCUUCUAUUUGUACAGAAAUGAAAAUAAAAUAUGAAAAUAUAAUAAUGAAAGAAAUGAAAAGAUAGCUUUUAAUUGUGGUAUAUAUAAUCUUCAGUAACAAUACAUACUGAAUACGCUGUGGUUCAUUAAUAUUAUCACCACUUACUAUAGUAUUCUUAAUACAAUGCUCACUGCAUUUAAUAAAUAUUUAAUAAAUGGUGAAUGAUAGAAGUUUCCAUCUACAAUAUAUGUUCCUAAAUGGAGCACAGAUGUUCAAACUAUGCUUUCAUUUUUUCACUGAUACAUUAAUUUUUGUGUAAUGAAUGCCAACAGUAUAUUUUAUAUGAUUUACUUAUGUGAGGAAACAUGCAAAGCAUUAGGAAAUUUAUUUCCUAAAAACAGUUUUGUAAAAUUAGUAUUGAGUUCUAGUUUACUAUUAUAAGAUAGCUUACAUUUUCAAAAUGGAAAUUGUUGGUCAUAUUUCUAGAACUUUAAAGAAAAAAGAGUGUUAUAUUAGUUUUCUAAAACUCAACUAUCUUUAGUCAUGUUCAAAAAUCUAUUGCUAGAUCAUAGUAGACACUGGUUUUCUAUUAACUCAAAAUCUACAUUGACAGGUUUAACAUUGAGAAGAAUCUUAAUAAAAAUAUGGAUAUGAAUUCAGUAGAUAUCUGAAAUUCAAUAAAACCACUGGAAGUUUUUCAUGAUAACUUAUUUUAAGAUACCUUAAAAAUCUUAAAGUCACAAAAGGAAAAAGGUUUUUAACAUUUAUAUGAGUUAACAUUUUUUCAUAGAACUUAUUACCUAGACAGAAUUUUUUACUGUUUUUUACUGUUUUCUUAAGAAAACAGUUAAAUCAUUAUGCAUUCAGUUGGAAGAAAGUAGUGGCAAGAAUUCUUUCAUUGCUAUAUAAUAUUCAGUGGCUUAUUUAUACCUAAUAAAAUAAUGGUAUUUUAAAAUAAUGCUACUUUUAAAGUAGCAUUUUUUUAGUUAGUUUACAGGUUACAUACUCAAAACCUUAACUAUGACUAAGAAAUUAAAGAAGAAAACCAGCAAACUAAAACUUCUGGGCAGCAAAAAUAUAUAAAUGCUUCAGAUGUCAAAUACCCAUGCUUGAAAGCUCGUGUAAUUUACUUUAAGAUUAUCUGCCUGCUCUUCUUCAAAGCUGACCUUGCUUUAGAAAUAGUUUUAACUAGCUUAGUUUUCUGGUUUCCAAAACUAAAACAGAUUAAAUCCUACAAAUUUAAGGACAGUUGUGACAGUAAUCUGACCACUAUCUAUAAACACAUUGGACAUUGGUUUCCGAAUCUCCCUUUCUUCUUCAGUUCCUUCCUUGUUCAAUAUAUAACCUCUCUAAACUGUGCAGGUAAAAGGAAUGACUGUCCUUGAGAGAACCAUUAGUUUAUCAAAGGUUUAUGUAGUUUUGUUGCUGUACCCUAACUUUGAUAUUAAGGGAGGUAAGAAAGGUAACAGAAAACCAGCAUAUUUAAUCAAAGCAAGAAGUAAUCGCUGACAGUUAAAUGUGACCAAAAAAAUUAAAAGUUCACAAUUUUUUAAAUGUAGCCAUUUGGGGUUAUCUCUAGUAAGGCAGAUACCCACGUUGGUAAAUUUUUAGGAUAUUGUGUUGCACUAGAAAACUAAGUGGUUCAUAUUUCUAAUGAGGAAGAUUAAUGAAAGAACAUUGUUAUAUUCUGCAUGGUAUAUUUUAAAGUUUAAGAAGGCAUGUUAAACAUUAUUUCCUCUAUGGUAGUUAAAAUACAGGAUUAGAUUUUUAACAGGUGUCAUUUGACUAAAGAAUGUUUAGGUAGAAUGCUUCAUACUUGAGUGAUGCUGGAUAGGGUAGUAUUAUAUUAUAUUUCAACAAUGGACUAUGCCUUGGUUUUUCACUAAUCAAAAUCAAAAUUACUCUUUAACAUGAUAAAUGAAUUUACCAGUUUGGUAUGCUGUGGUAUUUUAAUAAGUUUUCAAAGAUAAUUGGGAAAACAGACUGGUCAUAUUUAUGAAUAUUGUAACAUAUGUGAAUUGUGAUCCAUUUCUGAUAUGUCUUGAACUACUCUGUCUAGUGGGCAAAUGUCAUUGUUACCUCUGUGUGUUAAGAAAAUAAAAAUAUUUUCUAAAGGUC
RNAcentral lists this small RNA (7196 nucleotides) under Pongo abelii (Sumatran orangutan). RNAcentral describes it as "retained intron". Lineage: Eukaryota; Metazoa; Chordata; Mammalia; Primates; Hominidae. The record is from RNAcentral.